Molecule: ribosomal RNA, 262 nt
Filed under: uncultured archaeon
Lineage: Archaea
Description: partial 16S ribosomal RNA
Rfam family: Archaeal small subunit ribosomal RNA
Source: RNAcentral
UAGCCGUAAACGAUACUCGCUAGGUGUCGGCCACGGUGCGACCGUUGUCGGCGCCGUAGGGAAGCCGUGAAGCGAGCCACCUGGGAAGUACGGCCGCAAGGCUGAAACUUAAAGGAAUUGGCGGGGGGGCGACAACAACGGGUGGAGCUUGCGGUUUAAUUGGAUUCAACGCCGGAAAUCUUACCGGGACCGACAGCAACAUGAAGGCCAAGCUGAAGACUUUGCCGGAUUAGCUGAGAGGAGGUGCAUGGCGUAGUCGUGU